AGAGUUUGAUCCUGGCUCAGAAUGAACGUUGGCGGCGUGGAUUAGGCAUGCAAGUCGAGCGGCAGCAGGCCCGCAAGGGCGCUGGCGAGCGGCGUAAGGGAGAGUAACACGCGGGUACCUACCCUCGGGACCGGGAUAGCUGCGGGAAACUGCAAUUAAUACCGGAUAAUGUCCCUGGACCAAAGGUGUGAUUCCGCCUGAGGAGGGGCCCACGUCCUAUCAGCUAGUUGGUGAGGUAACGGCUCACAAAGGCUACGACGGGUACGGGGUGUGAGAGCAUGCCCCCGUUCACUGGGACUGAGACACUGCCCAGACACCUACGGGUGGCUGCAGUCGAGAAUCUUCCGCAAUGGGCGAAAGCCUGACGGAGCGACGCCGCGUGCGGGAUGAAGGCCUUCGGGUUGUAAACCGCUGUCAGAGGGGAACAAGUCCAUGGUGGUUAUCUGCCAUGGUUGAGUGAUCCUCAGAGGAAGCGCAGGCUAAGUCCGUGCCAGCAGCCGCGGUAACACGGACUGCGCGAACGUUAUUCGGAAUCAUUGGGCUUAAAGCGUCCGUAGGCGGCCGUGCAGGUGAGGUGUGAAAUCCCUCGGCUUAACCGAGGAACUGCGCUUCAAACCACAUGGCUGGAGAGAGAUAGAGGUGAGCGGAACUCACGGUGGAGCGGUGAAAUGCGUUGAUAUCGUGAGGAACACCGGUGGCGAAGGCGGCUCACUGGGUCUCUUCUGACGCUGAGGGACGAAAGCUAGGGGAGCGAACGGGAUUAG
Molecule: ribosomal RNA, 764 nt
Filed under: uncultured bacterium
Lineage: Bacteria
Description: bacterial SSU rRNA
Rfam family: Bacterial small subunit ribosomal RNA
Source: RNAcentral